CCUUCUACGUGAUUCAGGUGCAAUUUCUUCAAAAAUAUUCAUUUGAUACUAAUUUUGUUGUUCUUUCAUAGUGAUUUGUAAAAGACAUUUGUAUAUUUUUCCUUUAAAACUUCCUGUUGAUUUCUCGACUAUUCUAUGUAUUUCGAUUUUUAAAUUUAUAUUGUGAAUGGGUUCACAUUCGUAAUUACAUUUUUAUUGUCUGCAUAAUAGCUUUAGAAAUCGAAUGUAUAUGUGAUUAUUUUGCUAUGUUUUUGCUUUUCUGGGAUUUCUUAUACUUUUGUUAGCUUUUUCCAACUAAUGAUUUUGUUUUUGGUUUUUUGCCCCCAAAAUAGCUACAUAUCCAUAUCUUAACGACAACCCGUAAUACAACACCAAAACUUCAUAAAAAUUUUACUUGUUAGCUAGCCAACGUACCUACGUCUUUUUUUUUUUUAUUUAUAUUUUGGCUUAUUAAUUUAAAUUAAAUUUUGACCUGUCACUUUAGGCUUCAUUCAAAAAAAUAUGUUGAAAUUCUUCAAAUUUUUUGUGGGUUUGUUUUAGAAGGUGUUAAUUUUGUAGAUCAAGAGGAAGGGAAAAAAAAACCCCCCUUAAACUUUAGUUCUUGCAAGAUAUUAGACUUCGUUUAUAAAGUUAGCCACUUUGUAGCUUGCGUCUUCCUUGGACUCUGCAUCUUAUUAAGUAGGCUUGGAAGUAUCUCAUUUGACUUUUCGACAACUAAUAUCAACGCAAGCCUAUUUAAACAAUUUGAUUCGAACCACUCUCUAGUGCUUUGUUGAUGAUUUCUAUAGCUCUUACUAUGAUUGCAUGUUUAAGGUUGUUGUAUUUUGCUUUCUUGUUAUGAUGCUCAAUAUUUUUCUGUAACACCUUGAAACUUUUGUCAAGUGGGCAAUAUUCUCUCGUUCUUGGAGUUAAAUUUAUAUUUUCUGGAAGUUCAGGAGAUGGAACAAUGUUAGUUUCAUUUUCAAUUUUUAGGGAAGUUUCAUUUGAGCUGAUUAAUUUGAUCACGGAAGUGCUAUUUAUGUUCAAGUUAUAGUAUUCUAAUAUCGUCCAUCCACAAAACUAACAACUUCUCCUACAUGGAAAAUGAUAUACAUGAAUUAUCUGUCGUAACUUGGUUCUUGGAGUUGUCCAAUGUUCAGUGGUGGUUAUUAUGGUUCUUUUUCUGUUUAUUAAACAUGCACAAAAAGAGUGAGGUAGUAGUUAUUAUUGAAAGUUGAUUUAGGGCCCGUUAGGCAUUGCUCUUGAAAAGUCAAAAUGAACUUUUGAAACUCAAAAGUCGCUUUUGGACUUAUUUGACUGAUUUUAUGAAUCCUUCGUCAGGGAAGAAUUUAUAAAUGAUUUAAUUUAUAAAUUGAUAGAAAUAAGUGAUAGAUAGGUAAAUAAUACAUGUGAAUCCUUUGAAAUGUGUUGUUGAAAAUGAAAUUUUAUUACUUAUAAAUCAUUUUAAGGCGAAUGGUGGCUAACCAACCAAUUUUCCAUUUAUGCAGAUCGAACUUGUAUAAUUGGGGCUCAUUUAUUAGAUUGUUUUGGUACCAUCUACUAUGCUCUUGUAGUGGGGAUUAAAAUUAAAUUUUUAGUAAAAUUUUUAUAGUAGUUGAUUAAAUGCAUGGUUAAAAAGUUGUGGGUUCUAUGAAAUAUAUAGUUAAAAUUAAUUGUUUACUUUGAUUUAUAUUGAAAAUUAGAUUUUAGUUCCUACCAAACAGGUUUUUAUAAAUCAUAUUGAGUGACUUUGAGUGAAAUUUUCCCACAAUUGUUUAUCAUAUUUUAGACAUCUGGAUCAUUUUUAGGCUGUAUAAAGCAAUCAGUGCUCCACUUUCUUAGCUAAAUGUAGAGCUUGUUCCACCUUUCUUAUUUGAUCUUCAGUUCUCAAAAUUCAUAUGGAAGCUAAUAGAUAGUGAACAUGUUCAUCUGUGCUGAAAAGUUACUUUAUUUUUCAGCAAGUAUUUGUUAGUAAAAGAUUCAUAUAAUCAAGUUUAACUUAUUUUUAAGUAUAAAUAUACUUAUAAUGGCAAAUCAAUUCCAAAUAAGAAACUUUUUCUAUCUUCUAAAGUUUUAAAAUUAUAUUAGUAUAUUAUUAAUUGUUUAGAUCUUAUGCAGGCAUUUUUAAGGGUUGCAAAAGAUCUUUAUGCUAUUGUGAUUGCACCCAGAGAGAGUCAAGAGAGCCGGUUUGGCCUAUACUCGUACUUCAUGUUUUAAUUAAUUCUAUCAUUACAUGUUUUACUUCAACUUUGAUGCUUGAAUUAAAGUGUUUCGAUGCUAUCUUCUUUCAUAAAUGAGUAAGAACGUGAAAUUAGUUUCACUUCCUACGUUAAUUUGCAUCAUCUUUAUGAUGCACUGGGGCUCAAGCUCCACAGUGUUGGUUAAACUUAGUUAAGCGUUUUUAAGUAUAAAACACAAAGGAAAAUUAUAUAGGAUUAUCAAAAAUAAAUGACUAAUGCCAUUAAUAACAAUAAACUAAUUUUUUAAAAACGAAGUCACGUAUUCAAUAACUUUUGACAUAAAAGAAAAAGUACUUCGAUCAUAAUUACUUAAAUCCAUUAGCCAAAAAAAUAAAUGAAUAAAUAAAUAAAUAUCCCAUCAAUUAGUUUUCACACUUGAUCUGAUUUGGGAUCAUUCCAACACAAGCCAACAAUAGAGCUUCCAGACUAACUUUUGAUGCUUGCAGCGUCAUUCCUUCCUUCCACUUAUCAAUUAUUUCCUUUAGAGUCACAUCGACAAUCAAAUUUGAAAUCGUUAUAUUCAAUCCUCUUUUUGGACGGACAUUUUCCUUAUUAUUCUCAAACUUAACCAAUCAUUCAAGACUUGCUAUCCUUUUUAUAUGUCAUCCCACUUUUUAUUGUUACUCAUUCGCAAUCUUUUACAUCAACAAACAACGGAAUUUAUCAUAUAAGAGCUCCAUGUAUUCAGCAGUCUGUGGCAAACUAAUAAAGGGACCAGUAUUCCAACUUUCGUAGUCAUUUUUGCCUCCACUCUUUCUGCUUUCUAAAUUACCCGAUAAUUGUAGAUUCACUAAAAAAAUUUCAUCAUUAGUGGAAUACAAAUCUAUAUUCAUUUGUUCAUAAUUAAACAUGUCUUACUUGUUGUUAUGUAAACAAGUUAAUCUAUUAUAAAGCACAUUAUUUCUAUACAUAUCGUAUAAUAAAUGUUUCAACAUCUUUUCUCUCUUAAACCUUAUGAUUAUUUUUAGUUCCGGUUGCUAGCUUCUUCUUCGAAGUAUUAAAUCAUUUAUUGUUCUGAUGGAUCCUUCGACAAUGUCUAUUGAUUGAGAAUCUGCUGUUCUUAAAUAUGAUACCAUUCUUCCAAGCAGAAGUGAGGCAUACAAUGCAUUCAUUCACCAACAACGAAAUCAAAGACAAAGGGAUUGGAGAAAUCGAGUCAAAGCUGGACGAAUUGAUUCUCGAGAAAGGGUAACUGACACAGUAUUAUCCGAAAAUACUAAUUUCAGUUCUGCCCAUGUGAAUGAAGCAGUAAUAUGUCAUGAUUUCGAGGCUUCUACUUCGAACCAAGAAGCGACUGAUGUUUCUAAAUGUGUAAAACUUAUGAACAUACCAAAUACUGCAUAUGUAUUACUGACAUGUACCUAUUGUAAAUAUUGUGGUGCAUGAAAAUUUCAUAGAGAAAGUAAAAGUUUUUGUUGCUCAAAUGGAAAAGUUAAACUUUGUAUGCUUGAUUCACCC
RNAcentral lists this long non-coding RNA (3677 nucleotides) under Olea europaea subsp. europaea. The record is from RNAcentral. Lineage: Eukaryota; Viridiplantae; Streptophyta; Magnoliopsida; Lamiales; Oleaceae.